AGUGGCGGACGGGUGAGUAACGCGUGAGAAUCUGCCUUGGGGUCGGGGACAACCACUGGAAACGGUGGCUAAUACCGGAUACGCCUUCGGGUAAAAGAUUUAUUGCCCUAAGAGGAGCUCGCGUCUGAUUAGCUAGUUGGUGAGGUAAGAGCUCACCAAGGCAGCGAUCAGUAGCUGGUCUGAGAGGACGAUCAGCCACACUGGGACUGAGACACGGCCCAGACUCCUACGGGAGGCAGCAGUGGGGAAUUUUCCGCAAUGGGCGAAAGCCUGACGGAGCAAGACCGCGUGAGGGAGGAAGGCUCUUGGGUUGUAAACCUCUUUUCUCAGGGAAGAAGCUCUGACGGUACCUGAGGAAUCAGCCUCGGCUAACUCCGUGCCAGCAGCCGCGGUAAUACGGAGGAGGCAAGCGUUAUCCGGAAUUAUUGGGCGUAAAGCGUCCGCAGGUGGCGAUUCAAGUCUGCUGUCAAAGCACGGGGCUUAACUCCGUAAAGGCAGUGGAAACUGAAUAGCUAGAGUGCCGUAGGGGUAGAGGGAAUUCCCGGUGUAGCGGUGAAAUGCGUAGAGAUCGGGAAGAACAUCGGUGGCGAAAGCGCUCUACUGGACGGCAACUGACACUCAGGGACGAAAGCUAGGGUAGCGAAUGGGAUUAGAUACCCC
This 660-nucleotide ribosomal RNA is filed under the name uncultured bacterium. RNAcentral describes it as "bacterial SSU rRNA". It matches the Rfam family "Bacterial small subunit ribosomal RNA", at positions 94 to 788 of the family's 1533-position model. The record is from RNAcentral.